AGGAGGGUAGUUUAAUUUAAAAUGCUUGUUUGUGGCACAAGAGAUACAGUUUUAGUUCCUUCUA
Molecule: transfer RNA, 64 nt
Filed under: Hydroides elegans (calcareous tube worm)
Lineage: Eukaryota; Metazoa; Annelida; Polychaeta; Sabellida; Serpulidae
Description: tRNA-His
Rfam family: tRNA
About the family: Transfer RNA (tRNA) molecules are approximately 80 nucleotides in length. Their secondary structure includes four short double-helical elements and three loops (D, anti-codon, and T loops).
Source: RNAcentral